RNAcentral lists this ribosomal RNA (253 nucleotides) under uncultured bacterium. Its description in RNAcentral is "partial 16S ribosomal RNA". It matches the Rfam family "Bacterial small subunit ribosomal RNA", at positions 524 to 776 of the family's 1533-position model. The record is from RNAcentral.
UACGGAGGGUGCAAACGUUGCUCGGAAUCAUUGGGCGUAAAGCGCACGUAGGCGGACUGUUAAGUCGGAUGUGAAAUCCCUCAGCUUAACUGAGGAAGUGCACUCGAAACUGGCAGUCUUGAAUAUGGAAGAGGGUCGCGGAAUUCCCGGUGUAGAGGUGAAAUUCGUAGAUAUCGAGAGGAACACCGGUGGCGAAGGCGGCCUUCUGGACCGGCAUUGACGCUGAGGAGCGAAAGCCAGGGGAGCAAACGGG